This is a non-coding RNA of Clostridium sp. C105KSO13, 179 nucleotides long. It matches the Rfam family "6S / SsrS RNA". Rfam says of the family: E. coli 6S RNA was the first non coding RNA to be sequenced, but its function was unknown until recently. It consists of 184 nucleotides that fold into an extended hairpin structure with a large single-stranded internal bulge. The 6S RNA specifically associates with RNA polymerase holoenzyme containing the sigma70 specificity factor. The record is from Rfam. NCBI's taxonomy places the organism in Bacteria, Bacillati, Bacillota, Clostridia, Eubacteriales, Clostridiaceae.
AAAAACCUGGAAUGUUCGACCCCCCUGUUAUUUUGAACCUACAGCACUUUAAACGGGAUUCCUACAUUUCUGUAAUAUGUCAAGCCUCCAGUUUGCAGGGGAAGACAGAAAAGCAGAUGCGGUUGCCCACCUAGCAUUAGCUAGGAGUCAAAAUACAGGACCGGCAUUUCGGGGAUUCU